GCCUUCGUAGCUCAAUUGGUAGAGCAAGAUCAUUUUAAGAUCGUGGUUACAGGUUCGAGUCCUGUCGGAGUCA
Molecule: transfer RNA, 73 nt
Filed under: bacterium
Lineage: Bacteria
Description: tRNA-Lys
Rfam family: tRNA
About the family: Transfer RNA (tRNA) molecules are approximately 80 nucleotides in length. Their secondary structure includes four short double-helical elements and three loops (D, anti-codon, and T loops). Further hydrogen bonds mediate the characteristic L-shaped molecular structure. tRNAs have two regions of fundamental functional importance: the anti-codon, which is responsible for specific mRNA codon recognition, and the 3' end, to which the tRNAs corresponding amino acid is attached (by aminoacyl-tRNA synthetases). tRNAs cope with the degeneracy of the genetic code in two manners: having more than one tRNA (with a specific anti-codon) for a particular amino acid; and 'wobble' base-pairing, i.e. permitting non-standard base-pairing at the 3rd anti-codon position.
Source: RNAcentral